Molecule: ribosomal RNA, 633 nt
Filed under: Nebria lindrothi
Lineage: Eukaryota; Metazoa; Arthropoda; Insecta; Coleoptera; Carabidae
Description: partial large subunit ribosomal RNA
Rfam family: Bacterial large subunit ribosomal RNA (bases 388-547)
Source: RNAcentral
GUCCUUUAGAAUUUAAUUUAAGGUCUAGCCUGCCCACUGAUUUAUUUUAAAUGGCCGCAGUAAUUUGACUGUGCAAAGGUAGCAUAAUCAUUAGUUUUUUAAUUGAAAGCUUGUAUGAAAGGUUGGACGAGGUAAAAUCUGUCUCUAAUUAAUUUAAUUUAGAAUUUAACUUUUAAGUCAAAAGGCUUAAAUAUAAUUAAAAGACGAGAAGACCCUAUAGAUCUUUAUAAUUUAUUUAUUAAAUUUAAUUAAGAAUUUUUUAAAUUUUAUUAAUUUAAUUAUUUUAUUGGGGUAAUAUAAAGAUUAAAUUAAUUCUUUUUUUUUAUUAACAUUAAUUUAUGAUUUCAUGAUCCAAUUUUAUUGGUUAUAAGAUUAAGUUACCUUAGGGAUAACAGCGUUAUUUUUUUAGAGAGUUCUUAUCGAUAAAAAAGUUUACGACCUCGAUGUUGGAUUAAAGAUUAUUUCAGGUGUAGAAGUUUGAAAAUUUUGGUCUGUUCGACCAUUAAAUCUUUACAUGAUCUGAGUUCAGACCGGUGUAAGCCAGGUCGGUUUCUAUCUUUAAUAAAUUAAAAUAUUUUAGUACGAAAGGACCGAUUAUUUAAUAUAAAAUAUUUAAAUUUUGAUUAUUAUUAA